This 810-nucleotide ribosomal RNA is filed under the name uncultured archaeon. Its description in RNAcentral is "bacterial SSU rRNA". It matches the Rfam family "Archaeal small subunit ribosomal RNA", at positions 85 to 878 of the family's 1478-position model. The record is from RNAcentral.
ACUGCUCAGUAACACGUGGCUAAUCUGCCCUUGGGACCGGAACACCCCCGGGAAACUGGGGCUAAUUCUCGAUAGGCGAAGAACUCUGGAAUGAGUCUUCGUCAAAAAGACGUUUACGUUAUGCUCGUAGGCGUCGCCCAAGGAUGAGGCCGCGACCGAUCAGGUUGUUGGUGAGGUAAUGGCUCACCAAGCCUUUUACCGGUGCGGGCCGUGAGAGCGGGAGCCCGGAGAUGGGCACUGAGACAAGGGCCCAGGCCCUACGGGGCGCAGCAGUCGCGAAAACUUUGCAAUACACGAAAGUGUGACAGGGCUAUCCCGAGUGCCAUCCGCUGAGGAAGGCUUUUACCCAGUCUAGAACGCUGGGGGAAUAAGGAGAGGGCAAGUCUGGUGUCAGCCGCCGCGGUAAUACCAGCUCUUCGAGUGGUGUGGAUGUUUAUUGGGCCUAAAGCAUCCGUAGCUGGCUAAGUUAGUCCCCUGUUAAAUCCACCGAAUUAAUCGUUGGAUUGCGGGGGAUACUGCUUGGCUAGGGGACGAGAGAGGCAGACGGUAUUUCCGGGGUAGGGGUGAAAUCCUAUAAUCCCGGGAAGACCACCAGUGGCGAAGGCUGUCUGCUAGAACGCGCCCGACGGUGAGGGAUGAAAGCUGGGGGAGCGAACCGGAUUAGAUACCCGGGUAGUCCCAGCUGUAAACGAUGCAGGCUAGGUGUUUGGACGGCCACGUGCCGUUCUAGUGCCGCAGGGAAGCUGUUAAGCCUGCCGCCUGGGGAGUACGAUCGCAAGAUUGAAACUUAAAGGAAUUGGCGGGGGAGCA